AGAUAUCAGGAGGAACACCGAUGGCGAAGGCAGAUCUCUGGGCCGUGACUGACGCUGAGGAGCGAAAGGGUGGGGAGCAAACAGGCUUAGAUACCCUGGUAGUCCACCCCGUAAACGUUGGGAACUAGUUGUGGGGGCCUUUCCACGGUCUCCGUGACGCAGCUAACGCAUUAAGUUCCCCGCCUGGGGAGUACGGCCGCAAGGCUAAAACUCAAAGGAAUUGACGGGGACCCGCACAAGCGGCGGAGCAUGCGGAUUAAUUCGAUGCAACGCGAAGAACCUUACCAAGGCUUGACAUACACCGGAAACGUCCAGAGAUGGUCGCCCCUUUUUGGUCGGUGUACAGGUGGUGCAUGGUUGUCGUCAGCUCGUGUCGCGAGAUGUUGGGUUAAGUCCCGCAACGAGCGCAACCCUCGUUCUAUGUUGCCAGCACGUUAUGGUGGGAACUCAUGGGAUACUGCCGGGGUCAACUCGGAGGAAGGUGGGGAUGACGUCAAAUCAUCAUGCCCCUUAUGUCUUGGGCUUCACGCAUGCUACAAUGGCCGGUACAAUGGGCUGCGAUACCGUGAGGUGGAGCGAAUCCCAAAAAGCCGGUCCCAGUUCGGAUCGUAGUCUGCAACUCGACUACGUGAAGUCGGAGUCGCUAGUAAUCGCAGAUCAGCAACGCUGCGGUGAAUACGUUCCCGGGUCUUGUACACAC
Molecule: ribosomal RNA, 700 nt
Filed under: uncultured bacterium
Lineage: Bacteria
Description: bacterial SSU rRNA
Rfam family: Bacterial small subunit ribosomal RNA
Source: RNAcentral